CUGGGUGUAGCUCAAAGGCAGAGCUCUCGGCUUGGGACCGAGAGAUGCACGUUCGAUCCGUGCCACUCAGACCA
This 74-nucleotide transfer RNA is filed under the name Myxococcales bacterium. Its description in RNAcentral is "tRNA-Pro". It matches the Rfam family "tRNA". From Rfam's summary of the family: Transfer RNA (tRNA) molecules are approximately 80 nucleotides in length. Lineage: Bacteria; Pseudomonadati; Myxococcota; Myxococcia; Myxococcales. The record is from RNAcentral.